This is a long non-coding RNA of Phyllostomus discolor (pale spear-nosed bat), 133 nucleotides long. RefSeq lists it as uncharacterized. NCBI's taxonomy places the organism in Eukaryota, Metazoa, Chordata, Mammalia, Chiroptera, Phyllostomidae. The transcript is spliced from 3 exons. The record is from RefSeq and is a predicted model, not a curated record.
CCCAGAGAAAUUGUGGCUUCAGUUCUAGACCACUGCAAUAAAGGAAGUAUCACAGUAAAGCAAGUCCUGAUCUUUUUUGCUGGUGGAGGAUCUUGUCUUCAGAUUAUAAAAACAGAUCUAUGAAGCCCAACAA